This 459-nucleotide ribosomal RNA is filed under the name uncultured bacterium. RNAcentral's name for it is "partial 16S ribosomal RNA". It matches the Rfam family "Bacterial small subunit ribosomal RNA", at positions 338 to 795 of the family's 1533-position model. The record is from RNAcentral.
CCUACGGGGGGCAGCAGUGAGGAAUAUUGGUCAAUGGGCGCGAGCCUGAACCAGCCAAGUCGCGUGAGGGAAGACGGUCCUAUGGAUCGUAAACCUCUUUUGUCGGGGAGCAAAAGACGCCACGCGUGGCGUUCCGAGAGUACCCGAAGAAAAAGCAUCGGCUAACUCCGUGCCAGCAGCCGCGGUAAUACGGAGGAUGCGAGCGUUAUCCGGAUUUAUUGGGUUUAAAGGGUGCGCAGGCGGAAGAUCAAGUCAGCGGUAAAAUUGAGGGGCUCAACCUCGUCGAGCCGUUGAAACUGGGUUUCUUGAGUGAGCGAGAAGAAUGCGGAAUGCGUGGUGUAGCGGUGAAAUGCAUAGAUAUCACGCAGAACUCCGAUUGCGAAGGCAGCGUACCGGCGCCGGACUGACGCUGAGGCACGAAAGCGUGGGUAUCGAACAGGAUUAGAUACCCGGGUAGUC